This 423-nucleotide ribosomal RNA is filed under the name uncultured bacterium. RNAcentral describes it as "partial 16S ribosomal RNA". It matches the Rfam family "Bacterial small subunit ribosomal RNA", at positions 360 to 774 of the family's 1533-position model. The record is from RNAcentral.
AAUCAUUCGUAAUGGGCGAACGCCUGCCGGUGCGAGGCCGCGUGAACGAUGAAGGUCUUCGGACUGGAAAGUUCUGAUGUUAGGGAAGGAUAAGUGACAUUCAAAUAGGUUGGCCCCUUGACGGUACCUGCCUAGAAAGACCCGGCUAACUACGUCCCAGCAGCCGCGGUAAUACGUAGGGGGCAAGCGUUGUCCGGAAUUAGUGGGCGUAAAGGGCUCGCAGGCGGUUUCUUAAGUCUGAUGUGAAAUAUUGCGGCUCAACCGCAGGAGGGCAUUGGAAACUGGAAGGCUUGAGUAUAGGAGAGGAAAGUGGAAUUCCAGGUGUAGCGGUGAAAUGCGUAGAGAUGUGGAGGAACACCAGUGGCGAAGGCGACUUUCUGGCCUAUAACUGACGCUGAGAAGCGAAAGCGUGGGUAGCAAACA